UACGUAGGGGGCGAGCGUUGUCCGGAAUCAUUGGGCGUAAAGCGCGUGUAGGCGGCCCGGCAAGUCCGCUGUGAAAGUCCAGGGCUCAACCCUGGGAUGCCGGUGGAUACUGUCGGGCUCGAGUCCGGAAGAGGCGAGUGGAAUUCCUGGUGUAGCGGUGAAAUGCGCAGAUAUCAGGAGGAACACCAAUGGCGAAGGCAGCUCGCUGGGACGUGACUGACGCUGAGACGCGAAAGCGUGGGGAGCAAACAGG
Molecule: ribosomal RNA, 253 nt
Filed under: uncultured bacterium
Lineage: Bacteria
Description: partial 16S ribosomal RNA
Rfam family: Bacterial small subunit ribosomal RNA
Source: RNAcentral